RNAcentral lists this ribosomal RNA (501 nucleotides) under uncultured bacterium. Its description in RNAcentral is "partial 16S ribosomal RNA". It matches the Rfam family "Bacterial small subunit ribosomal RNA", at positions 30 to 523 of the family's 1533-position model. The record is from RNAcentral.
AUUGAACGCUGGCGGCAGGCUUAACACAUGCAAGUCGAGCGGGGGAAGGUAGCUUGCUACUGGACCUAGCGGCGGACGGGUGAGUAAUGCUUAGGAAUCUGCCUAUUAGUGGGGGACAACAUCUCGAAAGGGAUGCUAAUACCGCAUACGUCCUACGGGAGAAAGCAGGGGAUCUUCGGACCUUGCGCUAAUAGAUGAGCCGAAGUCGGAUUAGAUAGUUGGUGGGGGAAAGGCCUAACAAGGCGACGAUCUGUAGCGGGUCUGAGAGGAUGAUCCGCCACACUGGGACUGAGACACGGCCCAGACUCCUACGGGAGGCAGCAGUGGGGAAUAUUGGACAAUGGGGGGAACCCUGAUCCAGCCAUGCCGCGUGUGUGAAGAAGGCCUUAUGGUUGUAAAGCACUUUAAGCGAGGAGGAGGCUACUUUAGUUAAUACCUAGAGAUAGUGGACGUUACUCGCAGAAUAAGCACCGGCUAACUCUGUGCCAGCAGCCGCCGUAA